Molecule: ribosomal RNA, 761 nt
Filed under: Marmoricola sp.
Lineage: Bacteria; Bacillati; Actinomycetota; Actinomycetes; Propionibacteriales; Nocardioidaceae
Description: bacterial SSU rRNA
Rfam family: Bacterial small subunit ribosomal RNA
Source: RNAcentral
AGCGGUAAGGCCCCUUCGGGGGUACACGAGCGGCGAACGGGUGAGUAACACGUGAGCAAUCUACCCAUCACAUCGGGAUAACUUCGGGAAACCGAAGCUAAUACCGGAUACGACCACCUCAGGCAUCUGAUGGUGGUGGAAAGUUCAGGCGGUGAUGGAUGAGCUCGCGGCCUAUCAGCUUGUUGGUGGGGUAACGGCCCACCAAGGCUUCGACGGGUAGCCGGCCUGAGAGGGUGACCGGCCACACUGGGACUGAGACACGGCCCAGACUCCUACGGGAGGCAGCAGUGGGGAAUAUUGGACAAUGGGCGAAAGCCUGAUCCAGCAACGCCGCGUGAGGGAUGACGGCCUUCGGGUUGUAAACCUCUUUCAGCAGGGACGAAGCGAAAGUGACGGUACCUGCAGAAGAAGCACCGGCCAACUACGUGCCAGCAGCCGCGGUAAUACGUAGGGUGCGAGCGUUGUCCGGAAUUAUUGGGCGUAAAGGGCUCGUAGGCGGUCUGUCGCGUCGGGAGUGAAAACUCAGGGCUUAACCCUGAGCCUGCUUCCGAUACGGGCAGACUAGAGGUAUGCAGGGGAGAAUGGAAUUCCUGGUGUAGCGGUGAAAUGCGCAGAUAUCAGGAGGAACACCGGUGGCGAAGGCGGUUCUCUGGGCAUUACCUGACGCUGAGGAGCGAAAGUGUGGGGAGCGAACAGGAUUAGAUACCCUGGUAGUCCACACCGUAAACGUUGGGCGCUAGGUGUGGGACUCAUUCCACGAG